CAAGUUUUUUGAAACUAUUGAGAACAAAGAUGCAACAUACCACUCGAGUGUGCAGUGGGGAAACCAACCUUGGAGAGCCGAGCAUGUG
Molecule: small nucleolar RNA, 88 nt
Organism: Nomascus leucogenys (northern white-cheeked gibbon)
Lineage: Eukaryota; Metazoa; Chordata; Mammalia; Primates; Hylobatidae
Source: RefSeq, a predicted model, not a curated record